Molecule: long non-coding RNA, 1191 nt
Organism: Gasterosteus aculeatus aculeatus (three-spined stickleback)
Lineage: Eukaryota; Metazoa; Chordata; Actinopteri; Perciformes; Gasterosteidae
Source: Ensembl
CGAACACAAGAGGAUCUCUUGCACCCUCGGCCCACUUUCACUCCGCUGACGCGCGAUGGCGGCGCGAACGGGUCCGAGGAAGCGACCGUGUGUGACGCGCCGCAUCAGGUAGGAAGGAGUGAACUCUGCAGGCUGCAGGGCAACUUGCCUUGAUUAACAGCCUGAAUCAUGAGGGAGUUUGAUUGAUUGUGCACCGAUCGCCGUUUACUUGGGAGUUAUUCGGAGAUGGUAUGUGACAUGCACAAACCUGUUGGAUCCACGCGGCUCUCUUUGGUUCACUGCUCCCGUCUGCUUCCAAACCAUGGGUCCAGGAAGGAAGCUAAUUGAUGGAAAUAUCUCUACCUGGUCACAUUGAGAAAAUGUCUAUUCAUCUUCAUCUACACUUGAAUAGGGGCCACUUUGAAUCCUGUUCACGUUGGAUGCAUGUAAAGGUCAGCAAUUCUGUUGGUUACAACAAUGUCUUUUAAGUAAUCUCCCUCUAUGUGAGGAUGUAAGCAUGGUUUUGUGUCGCUUUGGCUGUGGGCUGAUGGGCAGGAUUACAAUACAGUUGGGCUCAUUACAAAAUGUUAACAGAAAGUAAGUAGAUCCUCUUUCAUGUGGUUUGGCACUAAUUUAAUAUUAGAAAAUGUCAAUUGAAUUUCAGUGCAUGGGAUUUAUUUUCAUUAUAAAUUGUUCCAAAGAAACUAACUGACAAAAGGAUUAUGUUUUCAGAUGAAAUGCAAAACAGUAAAUGGAACUGUAAUACAAUCUUUUUGCAAGGAUGAGAACGUUUAAAAUACCAGAAGAAAAUCAAUGGUGGAAAAUGGUGGUUACUAUUUUUAUGUCUUGCUAUAUUUCUCUACUGAGAAAAAUGUAUUUCCAAAAACAUUUUACUUUUGUACAUUUUAAACAUAUGAUGUAUUAUUAUGGCUUUAACAUGCACAUAUCAUUUAUGUUAAUCCAGUUACAAUUGGAUUAAAAUAACGUAGCACCCUAAAUUGAUUUCAUUUUUCGUGUCAUUACUUUUAAAUACAUUUGGUCAAGAAACAUAUGGACUUGUAUUGUUACAUAUACUUUUACCUAAAAAAUGUAUAUUCCACCGCCGUACCUUGCACACUGCGACCUGUACCCUGCACUCUGUAAAGCCAUAUAAUGGUGCAUACUUAUUGAUUGCCAUACUAUCAACCAUGUUAAUGAUGCAAUGUUUUUCAU